GCCCGCUCAGAACUAAAGGAAUUGACGGGGCCCGCACAAGCGGUGGAGCAUGUGGUUAAUUCGAUGAUACGCGAGGAACCUUACCUGGGCUCAAAUGUAUGUUGACGUAUUCUGAAAGGGAUACUUCUUCGGACAAUAUACAAGGUGCUGCAUGGUUGUCGUCAGCUCGUGCCGUGAGGUGUCGGGUUAAGUCCCAUAACGAGCGCAACCCCUAUCAUUAGUUGCCAUCAGGUCAAGCUGGGGACUCUAAUGAAACUGCCUACGCAAGUAGUGAGGAAGGUGGGGAUGACGUCAAAUCAGCACGGCCCUUACGUCCAGGGCUACACACGUGCUACAAUGGCCGGUACAAAGGGCAGCUACCUGGUGACAGGAUGCUAAUCUCAAAAGCCGGUCUCAGUUCGGAUCGGAGUCUGCAACCCGACUCCGUGAAGUUGGAAUCGCUAGUAAUCGUGGAUCAGCAUGCCACGGUGAAUACGUUCCCGGGCCUU
This 488-nucleotide ribosomal RNA is filed under the name uncultured Sphingobacteriales bacterium. Its description in RNAcentral is "bacterial SSU rRNA". It matches the Rfam family "Bacterial small subunit ribosomal RNA", at positions 903 to 1382 of the family's 1533-position model. Lineage: Bacteria; Pseudomonadati; Bacteroidota; Sphingobacteriia; Sphingobacteriales. The record is from RNAcentral.